UUACGGCGAGUGAAGCGGGAAGAGCUCAAAUUUGAAAUCUGGUAGCCUUCGGUUGCCCGAGUUGUAAUCUAGAGAAGUGUUUUCCGUGCCGGCCCAUGUACAAGUCCCUUGGAACAGGGCGUCAUAGAGGGUGAGAAUCCCGUCCUUGACAUGGACCCCCGGUGCUUUGUGAUACACUUUCAACGAGUCGAGUUGUUUGGGAAUGCAGCUCAAAAUGGGUGGUGAAUUCCAUCUAAAGCUAAAUAUUGGCGAGAGACCGAUAGCGAACAAGUACCGUGAGGGAAAGAUGAAAAGCACUUUGGAAAGAGAGUUAAACAGUACGUGAAAUUGUUGAAAGGGAAACGAUUGAAGUCAGUCAUGCUCUUAGGAUUCAGCCGUUCUGCGGUGUAUUUCCUUUGAGUGGGGUCAACAUCAGUUUUGAUCGAUGGAUAAAGGCACGAGGAAGGUAGCACUCUCGGGUGAACUUAUAGCCUCGCGUCAUAUACAUUGAUUGGGACUGAGGAACGCAGCAUGCCUUUAUGGCCGGGAUUCGUCCACGUACAUGCUUAGGAUGUUGACAUAAUGGCUUUAAACGACCCGUCUUGAAACACGGACCA
This 596-nucleotide ribosomal RNA is filed under the name Naganishia adeliensis. RNAcentral's name for it is "eukaryotic LSU rRNA". It matches the Rfam family "Eukaryotic large subunit ribosomal RNA", at positions 84 to 668 of the family's 3401-position model. The record is from RNAcentral. Lineage: Eukaryota; Fungi; Basidiomycota; Tremellomycetes; Filobasidiales; Filobasidiaceae.